UUUAAUAUGGCAGAAAAAGUGCAUUGAAUUUAAGUUUCAAAAAUAAAGUUUUAAUACUUUUAUUAAAA
This 68-nucleotide transfer RNA is filed under the name Apis dorsata (giant honeybee). Its description in RNAcentral is "tRNA-Leu". The record is from RNAcentral. Lineage: Eukaryota; Metazoa; Arthropoda; Insecta; Hymenoptera; Apidae.